AGUUCGAUCAUGGCGUCAGAUUGAACGCUGGCGGGAUGCUUUACACAUGCAAGUCGAACGGCAGCACGGACUUCAGUCUGGUGGCGAAGUGGCGAACGGGUGAGUAAUGUAUCGGAACGUGCCUGAAGUGGCGGGGGAUAACUACGCGAAAGCGUAGCUAAUACCGCAUACGCCCUUCGGGGGAAAGCGGGGGACCUUCGGGGCCUCGCGUAUUAGAGCGGCCGAUAUCGGAUUAGCUAGUUGGUGGGGGUAACGGCUCACCAAGGCGACGAUCCGUAGCUGGUUUGAGAGGACGACCAGCCACACUGGGACUGAGGGCGGCCCAGACUCCUACGGGAGAGCAGCAGUGGGAAUUUUGGACAAUGGAAACCCUGAUCCAGCCAUCCCGCGUGUGCGAUAAUUCAGACAAGCACUUUUGGCAGAAAGAAACAGCACGGGACCAUACCCGUGCACAACUGACAGUGUGCAACAGAAUAAGCACCGGCUAACUACGUGCGAACGCGGUAAUACGUAGGGUGCAAGCGUUAAUCGGAAUUACUAGGCGUAAAGCGAUGCGAGCGGUUCGGAAAGAAAGAUGUGAAAUGGUGAAGCUCUUUUGGAUGGUUUAACAUUACCGAGCUGAAGUGUGUCCAGAGGGAGGUGGAAUUCCGCGUGUAGCAGUGAAAUGCGUAGAUAUGCCGGAGGAACACCGAUGGCGAAAACAGCCUCUGGAGAUAACACUGAACGCUCAUGCACGAAAGCGUGGGGAGCAAACGGGAUUAGAUACCCUGGUAGUCCACGCCCUAAACGAUGUCAACUAGCUGUUGGGGCCUUCGGGCCUUGGUAGCGCAACUAACGCGUGAAGUUGACCGCCUGGGAGUACGGUCGCAAGAUUAAAACUCAAAGGAAUUGACGGGGACCCGCACAAGCGGUGGAUGAUGUGGAUUAAUUCGAUGCAACGCGAAAAACCUUGUUAUCAAUGUCGUGUCGAAUCGAGGACGGGAGUGCUCGCAAAGAGAACGGAACACAGGUGCUGCAUGGCUGUCGUCAGCUCGUAAUUCGUGAGAUGUUGGGUUAAGUCCGCAACGAGCGCAACCCUUGUCAUUAGUUGCUACGAAGAGGAGCACUCUAAUGGACGUGCCGGUGACAAACCGGAGGAAGGUGGGGAUGACGUCAAGUCCUCACAUGGCCUAUGGGUAGAACUGCACGUCAUACAAUGGACGGGACAGAGUCGCCAACCCGCGAGGGAAGGCCAAUCCCGAAGUGAUCGUAGUCCGGAUCGCAGUCUGCAACUCCACGACUGCGUGAAGUCAGAAUCGCUGGUAAUCGCGGAUCAGCAUGUCGCGGUGAAUACGUUCCCGGGUCUUGUACACACCGCCCGUCACACCAUAGAAUUAGGUUUGGCAAAGUGAUUAACGCUGAUGUUGGAGAAACGUUGUGACAGUUCAUGACUGGGUGAAGUCAUGCUAAGGUAGCCCUGUUACUGCCUGACAUCAAGAUG
RNAcentral lists this ribosomal RNA (1480 nucleotides) under uncultured Bordetella sp. Its description in RNAcentral is "partial 16S-23S ribosomal RNA intergenic spacer". It matches the Rfam family "Bacterial small subunit ribosomal RNA". Lineage: Bacteria; Pseudomonadati; Pseudomonadota; Betaproteobacteria; Burkholderiales; Alcaligenaceae. The record is from RNAcentral.